GCUGGCGACCAUAGCAAGAGUGAACCACCUGAUCCCUUCCCGAACUCAGAAGUGAAACCUCUUAGCGCUGAUGGUAGUGUGGGAUUACCCAUGUGAGAGUAAGUCAUCGCCAGC
This 114-nucleotide ribosomal RNA is filed under the name Acinetobacter baumannii. The record is from RNAcentral. RNAcentral also lists the same sequence under 1 other name. Lineage: Bacteria; Pseudomonadati; Pseudomonadota; Gammaproteobacteria; Moraxellales; Moraxellaceae.